This 287-nucleotide long non-coding RNA is filed under the name Lathyrus oleraceus (garden pea). RNAcentral describes it as "Pisum sativum (pea) long non-coding RNA (PSAT_LNC008704)". The record is from RNAcentral. Lineage: Eukaryota; Viridiplantae; Streptophyta; Magnoliopsida; Fabales; Fabaceae.
AGGAAUUGACGAGGGAUAGCAUUUGAAGAAGAACGAUCCAACAUCCGCUGGUGAUCUCUUCGUGAAGAGGUAAGCGUAGGUUCGGCUUGGUUUUCCUUUCUCUUGGAUUCCUGCUUCAUCCUCGUCCUUCUUUGUGGUUUAUGUUUGGUUUUCUUGUUUCUUUGCAUUUUACUCGUGGUAUUAUUUGUUCUCGCGUUGACCAACUUUUGUUUUUCAAAGGAAGAGUUUUUCCUUGGUUCUGAUAGUUUGCCUUCCUUUUAAACAAAAGAAGAGACAAAUAAUGGUAU